This 910-nucleotide ribosomal RNA is filed under the name uncultured bacterium. RNAcentral describes it as "bacterial SSU rRNA". It matches the Rfam family "Bacterial small subunit ribosomal RNA", at positions 33 to 961 of the family's 1533-position model. The record is from RNAcentral.
ACGCUGACAGAAUGCUUAACACAUGCAAGUCGAUGGGGAAGUGGUGCUUGCACCAUGGUAACCAUGGCGGACGGGUGAGUAACGCGUAAGGAACUUGCCUGCGGGACUGGGAUAACAGCAGGAAACUGCUGAUAAUACCGGAUAAGGUCAUUAAGCUGCAUAGCUUAGUGAUGAAAGGAGACGCCUGCGGAGAGCCUUGCGUCCUAUUAGCUAGUUGGAGGGGUAACGGCCCACCAAGGCGAAGAUAGGUAGCCGGCCUGAGAGGGUGGACGGCCACAAGGGGACUGAGAUACGGCCCUUACUCCUACGGGAGGCAGCAGUGGGGAAUAUUGGACAAUGGGGGCAACCCUGAUCCAGCAAUUCUGUGUGCACGAAGACGGUUUUCGGAUUGUAAAGUGCUUUCAGCAGGGAAGAAGUAAGUGACGGUACCUGCAGAAGAAGCGACGGCUAAAUACGUGCCAGCAGCCGCGGUAAUACGUAUGUCGCGAGCGUUAUCCGGAAUUAUUGGGCAUAAAGGGCAUCUAGGCGGCCUUUCAAGUCAGGGGUGAAAACCUGCGGCUCAACCGCAGGCCUGCCUUUGAAACUGAUAGGCUGGAGUACCGGAGAGGUGGACGGAACUGCACGAGUAGAGGUGAAAUUCGUAGAUAUGUGCAGGAAUGCCGAUGAUGAAGAUAGUUCACUGGACGGUAACUGACGCUGAAGUGCGAAAGCCGGGGGAGCGAACAGGAUUAGAUACCCUGGUAGUCCCGGCCGUAAACGAUGAUUACUGGGUGUGGGCAGGAAGACUGUCUGUGCCGAAGCGAAUGCGAUAAGUAAUCCGCCUGGGGAGUACGGCCGCAAGGCUGAAACUCAAAGGAAUUGACGGGGACCCGCACAAGCGGUGGAGCAUGUGGUUUAAUUCGACGCAACG